AGCUUCGGCAGUAGCAGCAUCGCAGCCAGUGAGGUUUACCCGAGGCGCGAUUACUGCUAACUGGAAAGUACACCACAGCCUUCCCUCCCACAGCUCGUCACAGGUUCAGCGUACAGGCCUCGUUAUGGGCUAGAGGUUCUCACUUUAAACCUUAAUUUUUGUGUAUUUGAGGACAGA
Heterocephalus glaber (naked mole-rat) is the source of this 177-nucleotide small nuclear RNA. Its record names the gene U4. It matches the Rfam family "U4 spliceosomal RNA". Rfam says of the family: U4 small nuclear RNA (U4 snRNA) is a component of the major U2-dependent spliceosome. NCBI's taxonomy places the organism in Eukaryota, Metazoa, Chordata, Mammalia, Rodentia, Bathyergidae. The record is from Ensembl.